UGUAAGCGUAUACCAAAGUUGUUGCAGUUAAAACGCUCGUAGUCGGAAUUUGGCAGUUCCGGAUGUGUGCACGUCGUGUGCGCACUUCGCGGGGAUUGCUUUUGUGGUCUUGCGUAGGAUGAGGCACUUUUAUUAGUGAACGUCCUCACGCAACCACUUUUUACUGUGAGAAAAUCAGAGUGCUCAAAGCAGGCAUUUGCCGUGAAUGUAUUAGCAUGGAAUAAUAGAAUAGGACUUGGUUCUAUUUUGUUGGUUUGCUGGGACUGAGUAAUGAUUAAGAGGGACAGUUGGGGGCAUUUGUAUUUCGGUGCUAGAGGUGAAAUUCUUAGAUUGCCGAAAGACAAACUGCUGCGAAAGCGUCUGCCAAGGAUGUUUUCAUUGA
This 382-nucleotide ribosomal RNA is filed under the name uncultured eukaryote. RNAcentral's name for it is "partial 18S ribosomal RNA". It matches the Rfam family "Eukaryotic small subunit ribosomal RNA", at positions 592 to 976 of the family's 1831-position model. The record is from RNAcentral.